AGAGUUUGAUCCUGGCUCAGAUUGAACGCUGGCGGCAGGCCUAACACAUGCAAGUCGAACGGUAGCACAGAGGAGCUUGCUCCUUGGGUGACGAGUGGCGGACGGGUGAGUAAUGUCUGGGAAACUGCCCGAUGGAGGGGGAUAACUACUGGAAACGGUAGCUAAUACCGCAUAAUGUCGCAAGACCAAAGAGGGGGACCUUCGGGCCUCUUGCCAUCGGAUGUGCCCAGAUGGGAUUAGCUAGUAGGUGGGGUAACGGCUCACCUAGGCGACGAUCCCUAGCUGGUCUGAGAGGAUGACCAGCCACACUGGAACUGAGACACGGUCCAGACUCCUACGGGAGGCAGCAGUGGGGAAUAUUGCACAAUGGGCGCAAGCCUGAUGCAGCCAUGCCGCGUGUAUGAAGAAGGCCUUCGGGUUGUAAAGUACUUUCAGCGGGGAGGAAGGCGAUACGGUUAAUAACCAUGUCGAUUGACGUUACCCGCAGAAGAAGCACCGGCUAACUCCGUGCCAGCAGCCGCGGUAAUACGGAGGGUGCAAGCGUUAAUCGGAAUUACUGGGCGUAAAGCGCACGCAGGCGGUCUGUCAAGUCGGAUGUGAAAUCCCCGGGCUCAACCUGGGAACUGCAUCCGAAACUGGCAGGCUAGAGUCUUGUAGAGGGGGGUAGAAUUCCAGGUGUAGCGGUGAAAUGCGUAGAGAUCUGGAGGAAUACCGGUG
This 717-nucleotide ribosomal RNA is filed under the name uncultured bacterium. Its description in RNAcentral is "bacterial SSU rRNA". It matches the Rfam family "Bacterial small subunit ribosomal RNA", at positions 8 to 714 of the family's 1533-position model. The record is from RNAcentral.